CGUUACUCCUGGUGUCAAGCACAGUGAACUCUUUUUUGUGAUAUGCUUGCCGGGCAACUACGUCUUAAAGGGUAAAAGUCGAAGUAAUUGGCGGUCUAGAGAUUAACCAGCUCGCGAGACUUGACGGUUAAUCCGAUGAUCCGCGUAAAUUCUACUCUUUCUUGAAUUCCCAGUUGGUGUAUGGCCGUGUAGUGCUUCUUGAAAGGGAGUUGCGAGAUCCAUGCUCAUUGUUAGUAUACGUGGGCUUGUGGAGGAAGGCAGGUCGUCAUGCCGCCCAUGAAGGAGGCUUAGUUGAGUCACAUUGAAAUUAAAUCAAGCGGAACCGAGGAAGGAAGUAGCCCGGGGAAGAAGUAGUGGGUAGUAAGAAGAGAAUAAUUCGCUUUUUUGAAUCGAGAACUCCUAGGUGCACAAAUCGCCCGUCGCCCCCAGAGCCAAGGGAUA
RNAcentral lists this ribosomal RNA (441 nucleotides) under Anadara antiquata. Its description in RNAcentral is "partial 12S ribosomal RNA". The stretch from base 53 to 441 matches the Rfam family "Bacterial small subunit ribosomal RNA", at positions 875 to 1418 of the family's 1533-position model. The record is from RNAcentral. Lineage: Eukaryota; Metazoa; Mollusca; Bivalvia; Arcoida; Arcidae.